RNAcentral lists this transfer RNA (66 nucleotides) under Actinomycetota bacterium. RNAcentral's name for it is "tRNA-OTHER". The record is from RNAcentral. Lineage: Bacteria; Bacillati; Actinomycetota.
GGUCGUAGACUUGGCCCAGCCCACCCUCUCAAGGUGGAGACACGGGUUCGAAUCCCGUUGGGACUA